RNAcentral lists this ribosomal RNA (253 nucleotides) under uncultured bacterium. RNAcentral's name for it is "partial 16S ribosomal RNA". It matches the Rfam family "Bacterial small subunit ribosomal RNA", at positions 524 to 776 of the family's 1533-position model. The record is from RNAcentral.
GACGGAGGAUGCAAGUGUUAUCCGGAAUCACUGGGCGUAAAGCGUCUGUAGGUGGUUUAAAAAGUCCACUGUUAAAGAUUGAAGCUUAACUUCAAAAAUGCCGUGGAAACUUUUAAACUUGAGUAUGAUGAGGGGUAGAGGAAUUUCCAGUGGAGCGGUGAAAUGCGUAGAUAUUGGAAAGACCACCAAUGGCGAAGGCACUCUACUGGGCCAUUACUGACACUGAGAGACGAAAGCUAGGGGAGCAAAUGGG